GUUCGGCUGGUGUAGUGGUUAUCACAUCUUGCUCACAUUCGAUGAUAGGAAUAUCACGGGUCAGAUCCAAGAAGGUGGCAGGUUCGAUCCCUGCGUCGAACA
This is a non-coding RNA of Bombardia bombarda, 102 nucleotides long. NCBI's taxonomy places the organism in Eukaryota, Fungi, Ascomycota, Sordariomycetes, Sordariales, Lasiosphaeriaceae. The record is from the annotation of a GenBank genome assembly.